This 450-nucleotide ribosomal RNA is filed under the name uncultured bacterium. RNAcentral's name for it is "bacterial SSU rRNA". It matches the Rfam family "Bacterial small subunit ribosomal RNA", at positions 354 to 796 of the family's 1533-position model. The record is from RNAcentral.
GUGGGGAAUAUUGGACAAUGGGCGAAAGCCUGAUCCAGCCAUGCCGCGUGUGUGAAGAAGGUCUUCGGAUUGUAAAGCACUUUAAGUUGGGAGGAAGGGCAGUAAGUUAAUACCUUGCUGUUUUGACGUUACCGACAGAAUAAGCACCGGCUAACUUCGUGCCAGCAGCCGCGGUAAUACGAAGGGUGCAAGCGUUAAUCGGAAUUACUGGGCGUCAAGCGCGCGUAGGUGGUUUUGUAAGUUGGAGGUGAAAUCCCCGGGCUCAACCUGGGAACUGCCUCCAAAACUGCAUGACUAGAGUACGGUAGAGGGUAGUGGAAUUUCCUGUGUAGCGGUGAAAUGCGUAGAUAUAGGAAGGAACACCAGUGGCGAAGGCGACUACCUGGACUGAUACUGACACUGAGGUGCGAAAGCGUGGGGAGCAAACAGGAUUAGAUACCCCAGUAGUCC